UCUCUCUCUCUCUCUCUCUCAGGUUUCUCGCAAAUUCUUUAUGCGGUAACUCAUUGUGGAAUUGUUAGUUAUAGUGGGUGUACGGCUUCUCUGGCUCUCUCUCUAUCUUCUGUGUCGUGUCCCUGUGUGUGUGGGGGCGGGGGUGUUGUGGGCGUUUGAGAGGAGGAGCAGAGAUGAGCUUGGCGUGGAGGUAAAGAGGUACCUCUCCAUCACAGGGUUGCCUCGGCAAUCGCCACCGGCUUAGGAAAAACGAACUUCAAGGUCAGGUUGUUUUGGUGUUUUCUCAAAUGGGUUGAUUCCAGAUUUUGAGAUUUUGCGUCCAUCUCUGUCUCCUUGUGUUUCUCUCUAGAUAACGUAGGGAGAGACGCACAGAGUGAAAGGAGAAAGAUACAAACCAAGCUCAAAACAAUUCUUCUCUGUCUUUUAUCUCUCUCCCUCUCUCGGUUUCUUUGUCUCUUCGUGUACCGUGUUGAUAAAAUAAUCCGUUUGUUUCCAUGUGCAAUGUGUCUGCAGAUUCUAUCUCCAAAGAGCUAUAGUCUCCUUUGAUUAUCCAGAUGGUGAAAUGCCCUUCUCUACACGAUUCGAUCUCUCUUACUCAUUUUGCUGCUUAUUAUUAACUAGUCUAACACCACAAUCACCGCCAUCGACUCGCUCAUCUCAAUCACCAACUUACCAUUGUCGAUAAUGGGUAUCACCUUCUUGAUUAAUGACACCGUCACGCAAUCGACACACUCCGUUUUGAAGGCAAUUCAGGGCCUGCCCGUAUUUGAACUAGCCUCAAUUUGCAUCAAUUUGACGCUUUUCCUCGUCUUUCUCUUCAUAAUAUCUGCGAGGCAAAUAUUGGUGUGUGUUAGUAGAAUUAGAUUGCUGAAGGAUGAUACACCAGUUGCCAGUUCAAGCCCAAUUCGACGAAGUACUGCUGAUGGAGAGAUUCGAGUUGUUACAGUCAGUACCGGGUUUAAGUUGGUCCUACUUUGUUGUUUCUAUGUUUUGUUUUUGCAAUUUUUGGCGUUGGGGUUUGAUGGUGUUGCUUUGAUUAGAGAGGCUGUCAAUGGGAAAGUUGUGGAUUGGUCUAUAAUUGCUUUCCCUGCUGCGCAAGGUUUAGCUUGGUUUGUGUUGAGCUUUUCAGCUCUUCAUUGUAAAUUUAAGGCGUCUGAGAAAUUCCCACUGUUGUUGAGGGUUUGGUGGUUUUUCUCAUUUUUUAUGUGUUUGUGUACUUUGUAUGUGGAUGGGAAGAGUUUUCUGAUUGAAGGUGUGAAGCAUUUGAGUUCUCAUGUUAUGGUGAAUUUUGCUACAACUCCAGCUCUUGCUUUUCUAUGUUUUGUGGCAAUUAGAGGCAUUACUGGAAUACAAGUUUGUAGGAAUUCUGAUCUUCAAGAGCCACUGCUUCUUGAAGAAGAAUCAGGGUGUCUCAAGGUUACUCCUUAUAGUAAUGCUGGAUUGUUUAGCUUGGCUACUCUUUCAUGGUUAAACCCACUUCUGUCUAUUGGUGCAAAGAGACCGCUUGAGCUUAAGGACAUUCCCCUUCUUGCUCCAAAAGAUCGAGCUAAGUCCAAUUAUAAGGUUUUGAAUUUGAAUUGGGAGAAAUUGAAGGCAGAAAAUCCUUCAAAGCAGCCUUCUUUAGCUUGGGCAAUUCUCAAUUCAUUCUGGAAGGACGCGGCUUGCAAUGCCAUAUUUGCCUUGGUAAAUACACUUGUUUCAUAUGUAGGUCCGUAUAUGAUUAGCUACUUUGUUGAAUAUUUAGGGGGGAAGGAGACUUUCCCUCAUGAAGGAUAUAUUCUUGCUGGGAUAUUCUUCUCGGCAAAGCUUGUGGAGACCUUAACAACCCGGCAAUGGUAUCUUGGUGUUGAUAUUUUGGGUAUGCAUGUGAGGUCGGCUCUGACAGCAAUGGUGUACCAUAAGGGACUCAGGCUCUCAAGCUUGGCCAAGCAAAGUCACACUAGUGGAGAAAUUGUUAAUUACAUGGCAGUUGAUGUCCAGAGAGUGGGGGACUACUCUUGGUAUCUCCAUGACAUAUGGAUGCUUCCCUUGCAAAUAAUUCUUGCACUUGCAAUUUUGUAUAAGAAUGUUGGAAUUGCUUCUAUUGCAACUUUAAUUUCCACUAUCAUAUCCAUCAUUGUUACUGUGCCCUUGGCUAAGAUACAAGAAGAUUAUCAAGACAAAUUAAUGGCUGCGAAGGAUGACAGGAUGAGGAAAACUUCUGAGUGUCUAAGGAAUAUGAGGAUUCUGAAGCUGCAAGCUUGGGAGGACAGGUAUCGAGUGAAGUUGGAGGAGAUGCGGGAUGUGGAGUUCAGGUGGCUCCGUAAGGCCCUCUACUCACAAGCUUUUAUUACAUUCAUUUUCUGGAGUUCUCCCAUAUUUGUUGCAGUUGUUACUUUUGGUACUUCAAUAUUGUUGGGUGGUCAGCUCACUGCUGGAGGUGUUCUUUCUGCUCUGGCCACCUUCAGAAUCCUACAAGAACCACUUAGGAAUUUCCCUGACUUAGUGUCAAUGAUGGCCCAGACAAAAGUUUCCCUUGAUCGAAUUUCUGGAUUCCUACAGGAAGAAGAGUUGCAGGCAGAUGCAACCCUUGUUUUGCCACGAGGUAUGACAAACAUGGCCAUAGAAGUUAAUGAUGGUGAGUUCUGUUGGGACCCUUCUUCUUCUUCGAGGACCACUUUAUCAGGCAUUCAUGUGAAGGUGCAGAGAGGGAUGCGUGUAGCUGUUUGUGGCAUGGUUGGCUCAGGAAAAUCAAGCUUUCUCUCUUGCAUCCUUGGAGAGAUUCCCAAAAUCUCUGGUGAAGUAAGAGUUUGUGGUACUGCUGCUUAUGUUUCCCAGUCAGCAUGGAUACAAUCUGGAAAUAUUGAAGAAAAUAUUCUUUUUGGCAGCCCAAUGGAUAAAGCAAAGUACAAAAACGCUAUCCAUGCUUGUUCACUGAAAAAAGAUUUGGAACUUUUUUCACAUGGCGAUCAGACCAUCAUUGGUGAUAGAGGUAUAAAUUUGAGUGGUGGCCAGAAGCAGCGGGUACAGCUUGCAAGGGCACUAUAUCAAGAUGCAGAUAUUUAUUUACUUGAUGAUCCCUUUAGUGCUGUUGAUGCACACACAGGUUCUGAGUUGUUCAAGGAAUACAUAUUAACAGCACUAGCAACUAAGACAGUUAUUUUUGUAACCCAUCAAGUUGAAUUUUUGCCAGCGGCUGAUCUAAUACUGGUUCUCAAGGAAGGGCGCAUUAUACAGGCGGGGAAAUAUGAUGAUCUUCUGCAAGCAGGAACUGAUUUUAGAACUUUGGUCUCAGCUCACCAUGAAGCAAUUGUAGCUAUGGAUAUCCCAUCUCACUCAUCUGAUGAUUCAGACGAGAGUUUGUCUUUGGAUGGGUCUGUCAUAUUUAAUAAAAAAUGUGAUGCAACUGGAAGUAAUGUUGAUAUUUUGGCAAAGGAAGUGCAAGAAAGUGCAUCACCAUCAGAUCAGAAAGCUAUUAAAGAGAAAAAGAAAGCAAAACGCUCAAGGAAAAAGCAGCUUGUUCAGGAAGAGGAAAGGGUGAGAGGGAGAGUCAGUAUGAAGGUUUACUUGUCAUACAUGGCUGCAGCAUAUAAGGGCUUAUUAAUUCCACUAAUUAUCCUUGCACAAGCAUUAUUUCAAUUUCUACAAAUAGCUAGUAAUUGGUGGAUGGCUUGGGCAAAUCCCCAAACUGAAGGAGGCCAACCUAGGGUGAGUCCUAUGGUCCUUCUUGGUGUUUAUAUGGCCCUUGCUUUUGGGAGUUCAUGGUUUAUAUUUGUGAGGGCUGUUCUAGUUGCUACAUUUGGCCUGGCAGCUGCACAGAAGUUGUUUUUGAAGAUGCUUAGAAGUGUGUUUCGAGCGCCAAUGUCUUUCUUUGACUCUACUCCAGCUGGACGGGUCUUGAAUCGUGUAUCAAUUGAUCAAAGUGUCGUGGAUCUUGAUAUUCCUUUUAGGCUGGGUGGGUUUGCUUCAACAACAAUACAACUUCUUGGAAUUGUUGGUGUAAUGACCAAGGUUACUUGGCAAGUUUUGCUUCUUGUUGUUCCUAUGGCUGUUGCUUGCUUAUGGAUGCAGAAAUACUACAUGGCUUCAUCAAGGGAACUGGUCCGCAUUGUUAGUAUCCAGAAAUCUCCUAUCAUCCAUCUUUUUGGUGAGUCAAUUGCUGGAGCAGCCACAAUAAGAGGCUUUGGGCAAGAAAAAAGGUUCAUGAAGAGAAAUCUUUAUCUUCUUGACUGCUUUGCUCGUCCAUUCUUCUGCAGUCUUGCUGCUAUUGAAUGGCUGUGCCUACGCAUGGAGUUGCUCUCAACCUUUGUAUUUGCUUUCUGCAUGAUUUUACUUGUUAGCUUUCCUCAUGGAAGUAUUGAUCCAAGCAUGGCAGGCCUUGCAGUGACAUAUGGCCUUAAUUUAAAUGCACGCCUAUCGCGGUGGAUUCUUAGCUUCUGUAAACUAGAAAACAAAAUUAUUUCCAUAGAAAGGAUUUAUCAGUACAGCCAAAUUCCAAGUGAAGCUCCAUCUGUUAUCGAGGGUUUCCGCCCUCCAUCCUCAUGGCCAGAGAAUGGGACAAUUGAUCUGAUUGAUUUGAAGGUAGAAGCUUAGCUUUAUUCCACUAUGCAUGUGUAUUAUCCAGCCUUGAGGAAAUGUGUACUUUCUUUCGUUUUGUUCUGAUUGUUAUGUUGGUUUGUCCACAGAUGAUGUCUGUUGGCAUUCUUGGGCCUUCUGUAACAUUCUUGCUGAUUUACUCUGGAUCAGGUUAAAUGCUAGUUAUAGGAUAUAUCAUGCCAACAUAUGUCAAUAUUCUGGUUUCAAACUUAAAAAAUUAGCACCCACAUUCAGAGUUAUCAAUUUUGUAACAUGGAGUUUGAGAGUCAUGAUGUCUUUGUAGGAAUCAUGCAUCUCUUUCUAUUCUGGAGUUGAUUCAAUUAUCUUUUGACCAUGAGCUUAUUGUGCUUGUUUCCAUGACUGUGUUUGAUUCUCUAGCUUGAGAAGAAAAGUGAACAGGAAAGUUGGAUUUCUGUUAUGUAUAUGCAUAUAUGUAACAAUAUUUUUGGAGAAAAACGAUGGAAGCAAGAUUGCCUGGCUGAUUCUUAAUUGUUGGAAUUGGUUUGAAAAUGCUGACUCUUUCUUUUUCUGAAGGUUCGUUAUGCUGAGAAUCUUCCUACGGUGCUUCAUGGGAUAACAUGCACCUUUCCCGGUGGAAAGAAAAUUGGAAUAGUUGGGCGAACAGGAAGUGGUAAAUCUACAUUGAUCCAAGCACUAUUUCGAUUAAUUGAACCUGCUGAAGGGAGAAUCAUUAUAGACAACAUUGAUAUUUCUAUGAUUGGCCUACAUGAUCUUCGUAGCCGUCUGAGUAUCAUACCCCAGGAUCCAACUUUAUUGGAAGGGACAAUUAGGGGAAAUCUUGAUCCCCUUGAAGAGCAUUCGGAUCAGGAAAUUUGGCAGGUUUUAUCCCGCUUCCUUCCCCCCUCCCUCCUUAUUUAUGUAAUUACAUACAAGUUUACCUGGAUUUUGAAUGUUAAAAAGAAAGUCUUGAUUUUAGUCAUCCUUUGAACAAAAGUUCAUAUAUCUGCAUAUUAAAUUUUUGACCAAUCUAUAAAAUAGCUAAGCAUGUAGUUUGUUAUAAAUGGAUCAUUGCCUUCUGAUAAUUGAGAUGCGAAGGUAAAUAUUUUUUAUAAAUCAAUUACAUAAUCAAUUUUCAAAAAUUUCCAGAUUUAGAUGUUUUAAGUGAUUGCCAGUAUUAGUACAAGUACUUAGUUUCCGCAUGGGAACACUAUAUUGCCAAUUUAUGCCUAAAACAAUUUUUUAUGUAUGAAAUCUUUUCUGAUUAUAUGCUGAGAAUUCAGCUAUUUGUCACAGGCUCUUGACAAGUCUCAGCUUGGGGAGAUAGUCCGUAGGAAAGAUCAAAAGCUUGAUACACCAGGUAUGCAGCUAGCAGAUUGGAAAAUAUGGUAUUAAUGUUUUCUUCUCCCUCAUAAUCCCCAGAGUUUGGGUGGUUUGGAUGGCGUUUUGUUUCUAAUUGAUUAGUUUGUAUUGGAAUGUAUAAUUUGUAGUGGUAGAAAAUGGGGAUAAUUGGAGUGUAGGGCAACGGCAACUGGUUUCCCUUGGCCGGGCUUUGCUCAAGCAGGCAAGAAUACUGGUGCUAGAUGAAGCAACAGCAUCAGUUGAUACAGCUACAGACAAUCUUAUUCAGAAGAUUAUUCGUACGGAGUUUAAGGAUUGCACAGUUUGCACAAUUGCACAUCGCAUUCCAACUGUUAUCGACAGUGAUCUUGUUUUGGUACUCAGUGAUGGUGUGCACUAAUGAUUUCAAAACUCCAACUUCUGUCAUAGAGUCAAGUUGUGUCUCAGUGUGACAUAGUUGACAUAUAGGACUUGUUGAGUGGAUUUUUUCAUUUUGGUAGACUUGUGAAGUGAAAAGUUCUCAUGAAACUAAUUUCACUUUGGUAUACUUUUGCAGGUCGAGUAGCAGAAUUCGAUACUCCAACACGGUUGUUAGAGGAUAAAUCAUCCAUGUUCCUAAAGCUGGUAACAGAGUACUCAUCAAGGUCAAGUGGCAUACCAGACUUUUGAAUUAGAUGGCAUGCCCAAAAAUCCUUCAGGUCAGAGGCAGCAAGAGCAGGCUGAUAGCCACAAAGUAAUGUGGCGGCUGCUGCAUUCGGGAAACAGCGAGAGAAAACACCACUGCAUCAAUCCUUGCACCAAAUCCCUAUUGGUGAACGUAAUCUUGGGUUCGGGGGAGUUCAUCACUUAGAGCAGAAUGAGAGAAUUCAUUCACGGUUGGCAUACUUUGUAACAGAAAAUAAGUUGGUGGGAUCACCACCAGUUGGUAAUAAUCACACGCGGAAGGAGAAAAAUGUGCGGGUCUAUAUAUUGUUCAAUGAUGUGCAAUAAAAAUAGUGUUUAGAUAAGGCAGGAUUUUGUUUUUUGCUUUGGAAAUCUGUAGAGCCGAACUAGUCAAUGCCAAUCCCACUUUAUUCUAGUGGCAUAAUUCAGUUUUAGACUAUAAAUUUUGGAUGCCUACUAUAUCUCUUCAUUUCCUUUCUUCAUAUUUG
RNAcentral lists this unclassified non-coding RNA (7025 nucleotides) under Hevea brasiliensis (rubber tree). Lineage: Eukaryota; Viridiplantae; Streptophyta; Magnoliopsida; Malpighiales; Euphorbiaceae. The record is from RNAcentral.